RNAcentral lists this ribosomal RNA (407 nucleotides) under uncultured bacterium. RNAcentral's name for it is "bacterial SSU rRNA". It matches the Rfam family "Bacterial small subunit ribosomal RNA", at positions 355 to 776 of the family's 1533-position model. The record is from RNAcentral.
UGGGGAAUAUUGGACAAUGGGCGAAAGCCUGAUCCAGCCACGCCGCGUGUGUGAUGAAGGCCUUCGGGUCGUAAAGCACUGUGGAGAGGGAAGAACUCAAUGACGGUACCUCUUUAGCAAGCACCGGCUAACUCCGUGCCAGCAGCCGCGGUAAUACGGAGGGUGCUAACGUUGCUCGGAAUUAUUGGGCGUAAAGCGCACGUAGGCGGCCAAGUGUGUCGGAUGUGAAAGCCCUCGGCUUAACCGAGGAAGUGCAUUCGAAACUACUAGGCUUGAGUACGGGAGAGGGUAGCGGAAUUCCCGGUGUAGAGGUGAAAUUCGUAGAUAUCGGGAGGAACACCAGUGGCGAAGGCGGCUACCUGGACCGAUACUGACGCUCAGGUGCGAAAGCGUGGGGAGCAAACAGG